Molecule: ribosomal RNA, 504 nt
Filed under: uncultured bacterium
Lineage: Bacteria
Description: partial 16S ribosomal RNA
Rfam family: Bacterial small subunit ribosomal RNA
Source: RNAcentral
GAUGAACGCUGGCGGCGUGCCUAACACAUGCAAGUCGAACGGAGUUAUGAUGUAAGCGGGAAGUGCUUGCACUAAACAAUCUUUUCAUAACUUAGUGGCGGACGGGUGAGUAACGCGUGGGUAACCUGCCCUGUACUGGGGGACAACGGUUGGAAACGACUGCUAAUACCGCAUAAGCGCACGGGAUCGCAUGAUCCUGUGUGAAAAACUCCGGUGGUACAGGAUGGACCCGCGGCUGAUUAGCUGGUUGGUGAGGUAACGGCCCACCAAGGCAACGAUCAGUAGCUGGCCUGAGAGGGUGAACGGCCACAUUGGGACUGAGACACGGCCCAAACUCCUACGGGAGGCAGCAGUGGGGAAUAUUGCACAAUGGGGGAAACCCUGAUGCAGCGACGCCGCGUGAGUGAAGAAGUAUUUCGGUAUGUAAAGCUCUAUCAGCAGGGAAGAAAAUGACGGUACCUGACUAAGAAGCCCCGGCUAACUACGUGCCAGCAGCCGCAGUAA